RNAcentral lists this ribosomal RNA (441 nucleotides) under uncultured bacterium. RNAcentral describes it as "partial 16S ribosomal RNA". It matches the Rfam family "Bacterial small subunit ribosomal RNA", at positions 338 to 795 of the family's 1533-position model. The record is from RNAcentral.
CCUACGGGUGGCAGCAGUGGGGAAUAUUGCACAAUGGGGGAAACCCUGAUGCAGCGACGCCGCGUGGGCGAGGAAGUACCUCGGUAUGUAAAGCCCUAUCAGCAGGGAAGAAACAGGACAGUACCUGACUAAGAAGCCCCGGCUAACUACGUGCCAGCAGCCGCGGUAAGACGUAGGGGGCAAGCGUUAUCCGGAUUCACUGGGCGUAAAGGGAGCGCAGGCGGCAUGGCAAGUCUGAUGUGAAAACCCUGGGCCCAACCGCGGGAGUGCAUUGGAAACUGCCAGGCUAGAGUGUCGGAGGGGUAAGCGGAAUUCCUAGGGUAGCGGUGAAAUGCGUAGAUAUUAGGAGGAACACCAGUGGCGAAGGCGGCUUACUGGACGACUACUGACGCUGAGGCUCGAAAGCGUGGGGAGCAAACAGGAUUAGAUACCCGUGUAGUC